Molecule: ribosomal RNA, 255 nt
Filed under: uncultured bacterium
Lineage: Bacteria
Description: partial 16S ribosomal RNA
Rfam family: Bacterial small subunit ribosomal RNA
Source: RNAcentral
UACGAAGGGGGCUAGCGUUUCUCGGAAGUCACUGGGCGUAAAGGGCGCGUAGGCGGCGUUUUUAAGUCGGGGGUGAAAGCCUGUGGCUCAACCACAGAAUGGCCUUCGAUACUGGGACGCUUGAGUAUGGUAGAGGUUGGUGGAACUGCGAGUGUAGAGGUGAAAUUCGUAGAUAUUCGCAAGAACACCGGUGGCGAAGGCGGCCAACUGGACCAUUACUGACGCUGAGGCGCGAAAGCGUGGGGAGCAAACAGG